Molecule: RNA transcript, 7999 nt
Organism: Patiria miniata (bat star)
Lineage: Eukaryota; Metazoa; Echinodermata; Asteroidea; Valvatida; Asterinidae
Gene: qki
Gene name: protein quaking-A-like
Exons: 10
Source: RefSeq, a predicted model, not a curated record
CUUGGGCGCCUGCGCCUAUUGGCUACGGAUGGAGCUCACGGACCGUACGUACCACGCGAACGCGUACUACUGCAUGCAUGCACUGUGUGUGUGGCAACUAUAGCAUUAUCAUUACGUACGUGAUCGCGUUGUGGCAUGCAGAAAGCCGAUUCCAGAAAUAACUUCGCAGCUACAAAGUUUUGACUGAAAAAAAACUUGCUGCAGCCAAAAAUGUCCGUUGUGGUGCCGAACGACAGGGGCGACGGUUUGUCAGUUGUGCCUCCAGGAACGAACAGUAUGUCACUGCCAGUGCCCAUAUCCAUACCACCGCCGAACUCUCUAGUCAACUCGGUGGUACCGAGCAACGCGGCGUUGACCGGUGGUGUGUUUCUCCCGGGCCCGAUGCCAGUACCACUCCCCGUACACACACCGCCGAUGAAAAUCAUGGCGGACCACCACACCACAGAGAAACAACACCCACCGAUCCCCAACAACACAGACUACCUAGCACAGCUUUUAAACGACAAGAAAUCCCUGGUUUUGGUACCUAACAUGUUUAUCCACGUGGAAAGAAUUAUCGAUGAAGAAAUCAGCAAAGUGCGCAAGAACAUGUACAACAUCAACAACGACAACACGCCUCUCGUACUUCCAGAACCUCAAGGCCCAACAAUCACACUCUCAGAGAAACUUUUUGUACCGGUCAAAACAUACCCAGAUUUCAACUUUGUAGGCAGAAUACUUGGGCCUCGUGGUAUGUAUGCCAAACAGCUUGAGAAGGAGACAGGGUGCAAGAUCAUGAUCCGAGGAAAAGGUUCCAUGAGAGACAAAAAGAAGGUCUGGAAGGAGGAAAUGAACAAAGACAAGCACAACUGGGAGCAUCUGGCGGAGGAGCUGCACGUGCUGGUCACCGUGGAGGACACCGCCAACAGAGCCGGCCUCAAGAUGGAGCGCGCCGUCUCACAGAUCAAGAAGCUACUAGUGCCCACGGCGGACGGGGAAGAUGAGUUGAAGAAGAGACAGCUGAUGGAGUUGGCGAUCAUCAACGGAACGUUCAGGGACACCACCAGCAAAGCGCACCAAAGCAGCAAUCCGAACACACCCCUCAGUAAGUGUGCUGAAUCCGACAAUACCCAACAGUACCUUAAGUAUGAACCCUACGGAAUGCGUCAUCUAACAACAGUUGAAUUACCGCCUGGUGGCUGCACAUUCAUACCAGCCUCGCCGAGACAAAUGAUCCCGCCGGGUACCGCUCUCAUCCCGCAACCUCUGAGGUCACCGACACCAGCCGCCAACCCCCAGCUCAUCGCGCACCCCUCGGCCGCGCUCUUCCCACGGAUGGCGAGCGGCCAGACCAUCCUUGCCAACGGCAUGGCCCCGCCCAUGGUGUCUACAGCAGAUGGGACCAGUAUUAUGUUCUCUCCUUACGAGCACUACCCCUACGCCAUGACGCCCACCAUGCUUGACUACCCUCCUACGCCUUCCGAGGGUACCAUUGGUGCUGUACCCAAAUUACGGAGAGCAAUCAGGGAACACCCUUACCAGAGGGUCCUUGAUUCACGAGACCUUUCCAGCAUGGUUAUGGGAGCGACUCUGCCCCUCCCCAACCCCCUGAUGUCAUGAAUCUCAUGAUAGACCAUGGUACAGUACUGCCUUAAUAUUUGAUCAUUUUUUUGUUGUUGUUGUAUACACAAUAUAUCUAACUGUUAAAAUUAUAAUCAUCCAUUGACCAAUCGCAGGUGCCUUCAAAAGAUUGAUUUUGCUCAAUAUCUUGAAUGCUUUUGUUUACAAUCAAGGCUGGUUCAUAUUCGGAGCGGAAGCGAAUGCGAACACAUUUCAACUCUGGUGAAUUUCGCAGCGAAUGCUUUGCGACGUCAAAUUUGCAUCGCAUUGGCAUGAAGUAUGAGCCGGCCUUAAGGCUCCUUUAAAUUUGCUUAGCCGAGCACAAUUUGGAACUCUGCCGAAAAAAUGGAUAUUUCAUUUGGAAGUUCCUGUUGCCUAGAUCUGGAUUCACAGAUACUGAUGUAUUCGUUGUCACUAUCCGAGACGAUUAUGUGCCAGACGUGUUUCCUCAACAAAUAUGGGAAAAUUACAUUCACUCAUAACGCAUGUAGAUUAUACAGUGGCUAGUCUGUAUGCUUUGAGCAAUUCAGAGAGAUACGUUGUCAAAUACCUGUCAUGCUUUUCUCACUCAUAUGAGUGACAACCUUGACAGAUGCAUUUGCACUUUCAUUAGAGAAUUGUAGAAAUCGAAACGACUCCUCUUCACAUCAAAGCCAUCUCAGUAAAACAGUUGUCACGCUUGGCCAAAAAAAGCUUAAAUGUCCAUGCAUACUUUAUGAGGUUACAGAGGACGUCAGAUGAAAGUUUUCCCUGUCGAGUACGUCCUUGCGCUUAGGGGCCUAUAGGCAGAAACAUAGCCCGCAAUAAAAUAUUCAACAAAUGCAGCGAGUCUGCUAAUGGAGUAAUUUGGGAAAUUUGAGCAAACGAAAAACAGAAAUUGGCAUGUAUGAUUAAUCAUUUGAUCCAUCUAUAAAAAAAACCAGAAGCUCUCCGAACUGAAUUUCUUCAGAUAUUUUGUUACACCUUGCACCUUUGAACAAAUAAGUGCCUGCGGACAGUUGGCCUAAAAACGGGUCAUACUUGAAGUAAUAUCCGUGCAUGCUUAAGUUCAUUUCAAAUUUGAAUGAAGCAAAAAUGUGUACUUGGUCAAUGGAUGCUUAUUACACCCAAAACAAUGACGCGGUCAGUACUGUGUUGUAAAUACAUUUUUUUUUAUAUAACCAUCAAUAUGUACUUAUUAAAAAGAUGACCCAUGUACAAAAUUACCUGUAUAUGCAACUUUUUAAAACCCUGUGGUGCCUUUUUUCACGCAACAGUUUGUACUUUUUGCUGUUGAAUUUUUAAUAGAGAAGAUGUUUUUGUAAAGUCUACCUUUUGUACUCACUCACGUCAGGGCAUUAAUUUGACUGGUAUUAUUUUCGUUGAUUUUGACCUGUUACUUUCUUGUUAAGUUGAAAGUUGUUGAAGUGGUGCUCUCAAAAGCUAUAGACCGUGGUUAUCGACAUGAAUUUGACAAAGCCAAUUAUUGGACAACCACUUUUAGUAGCCACUUUUUUUACGCUCUGAUUUUCCCCCCAUUGUUCCAUACGUGUACUUCCACUGCCUCGAGUCAAGGGAAAAUAGUUUUGUUCCAGGCAAGUUUUCAAACACAAACAAACAUUUGUUCAGCCCCCCAAAAUGAGGGCUGCAAUUGUAAAUCUAGGCAACUCAACGCACAACUCUAGUUCCUGUUGUCAAGACAGAAAAUGUGAACCCAGAAAGUUCGAAUGUCUGGAUUUUCAUCUUUGAGUAACCUUCAUGAAACUUGAUCAAAAUAAAGCACAACAAAUUGCACAAAAUUAUUGCGAAUAGAAAAAUCAUGCAUUGAGCUUUGGACGAAAAACUGAUGCAAUGGCAGUACUUAAAAAAAAACAGGGCGGGAUGAAAAUCCUCCUACUUUUGUUCUGUUGCUUUCUACCGAAAAAGUAUUAUAUUUUUUGUAUUUGUAUAUUUAUGAUAUUGUAUGGGGCUUGCAAUGGGACAAUUAUAUAUCGAGAGCUCAACCUUAUUCAGUAAAGAUUAUAUAUAUUUUCAUUACCAAAAAAAAAAAGGAAAGAAGUACUGAAUUGGGUAGUCGAGCUAAAUGUUUAUAUAUUUUUGUGAUGUUCGCCUUAAUUUGUUAUCCAUUUUUUUUGGUGUUUUUUUUACAAUUUAUACAUUACGUACAUUUGGGAAUUGUGUAUCCAAUUUUUUGUCUUCCAUAUUUAGACUAUGUUAUAUCUUGUAAGGGUUUCAUAUAUGGUGGAUUAUUAUUUUAGCGUUAUUUGAAGAGGUAGUAGAUGUUGUAGGAAGAAUAAAUAUUGUUGAAUUGUUCAAGUGUAACAAAGUACCGGUGUAACCACCAUUUGAAGUGGAAGGCCUGUUUACAUUUGGCUGGCCGGGUACCAGCACUUCUAUAUUCUUAGUGGAAUAUCAGUGGCAGGGACCGGCUUUACGUUUGGACAAUUCACUUAUGAACGUUCUUUGUUUUUUAAGUAGGAGGAACUGUUAUAAGUGAGGGUUAUUUUUUUUAUCAAUAUGCGUCCGUGUGUAAAAUGAGAAAAGUGUUCAAUAAAAAAAAAAAAGACAGAAAAAAAGGAAAACAGUCUUACAGUUUAUUCAUCAAGUUCAGUGAUCAGUGUAAAUAUGAAGAGAUGUUCACCCCCUUCUGCCAACAAAUGGAAUAUUCCUCACUGUGCCUUAGUGGAUGAUUCCAUUUAAAAACGGGGGUGACAUAAUAGUUUCCUGUGCAACUUUCCUUCUUGGACUGAUGCUGAAAUCUAAGACUGCUGUUGAGUUUUGAAGAAGUGUGCUAAUUAACUUAAUUCUAAUGUCACUACUGUACCCUCACUUUAACACAAAUGCUGUAAUUAAAGUUUUGCUAGUGUAGAAUGUUAAACAGGGAUUUUUAAAAUGUAACAAAUGGUUUAUUACAUGGUUAUUAAUAUUAAUGUUAACAAAUUGCGAUGCUUUGCAAAUGGAAUGGUCUCAGUACCAGCAACAGUAUAAUGCAUUAAUCUUUAUGCAUUUGGCUGUACUCAAGGACUAAUUUAGCAUAGGAAAUUCACUCUUAUCAAGUUUUUUUUAGGGUUUCAUUACAGAAUAGAACGUGAGAAAAUGAACAAAAAGCGUUACAUCAAAAUUACUUGUUCUUUGAGACAUGUUUAUUCGUAAAGCAUCGCAGAGUGUACUUUUCUAACAACAUUCAUUACUUUUGCCAAAAAAUCAAACAAACGCCAACCCUAUGGAACCUGCCACGUGAGCGCUAAACGACCCGCCAGAGCCCCUAGCCAAUGAAAACGCAGCGUGGAAUGACGCUGUCAUUGAAUAAGCCAGCAACUAACCCCCCAAGCAACAACUGCACAGGGUCACAAGCAUUUGCCUCCCACUCCUACCUGCAACCACAGCGACUGCUGGUUGGGUUACCAAUGAUUGCAUCCCUGGUACCCCUGCGGCCGACAUCAUCUACUUGAGGAGUUCAUCUUUUGCCUGUACUUACAGCAAGCACCGCUUAAUUUGUCUCUGAAUAACCAAAAUCCAGUUUUAAAUACGCCUGUCAUUAAUAUGAGAUUCACAGAAAACUUAAGAAAAAACAAAACAAAAAAUGCCCCAUUAAUACUAAUAUAUUGACCGGUGUGUGUUUUGUAACUGCCUAUGUCAAAGUAGGUUUAUAGAAAUUGGUGCCAAGUUUAUGUGUUGGGAGGAAAGAUGUUGCCCGGCAUGACGAUUUUGUUGCGAACUAUCUGAAAUAAUCUCAUCAGAACCCAUUCUUUGAAAAAAAUGUUGCGAGGACCAGUUGUUUUUCUGUGCAUGAAAAUUGAGACUCUGCAACAUCUUUCUCCCCAUCUGCUGACUAAAGUACGGACACAGCGGAAGACUAUGGGAAUGCUUCGUGGCACCAGACACACUUGUUCUUUACUAUUCUAUUGCUGGGUGUCUGCACAUCUUCUUAAGAACACCCAGAAAUAGAUGGAUUAAUUUGCUGCCACCAACAUUUUCAGAAGUCUCUCCAUAAUUGCACUCUAAGGCCAAUGCAUAACCCUAACUCCAAAAAGUCCCUAAAAGUUGUUAAAAUAACUUGUCAAAUUGCUGUUUGGUUGCAAUUUUUAACAAAGCACUUUUCUCUAAAUUUAUAAAUCUGUUAUUGAGAUACAUAUAUGUUCCUAAAAUUAAUAACAAUAAUGAUUUUGACAUCACACUCAUUUUCUCUACAAAUUAAUUUUGUUGAGUAAUUCCCCCUACUGGGCCAGUGGAAUGCUCUUCUGAUAUCACUGGCAAUGAAUAUUCAUGUUCACCCAUAUCGUUCAUUGGAUUUAAUCUGAGCUUUGUGAUUGGUUGAAAUCUUUUGCCUUGCAUAACAACUCGAGGUACCUGACUGUCAGGUGACAUUAGGUGACCAUUCCAUUGUGUUAGUAGGGUGGUUUGUAAGCAUUCAAGAUUCAUUGUGUGUAGUUCUGUAAUAUUAAUGAAAAAAUCUUAUGCUGUGUUCCAGUUGCAUCAUUUUUUGGAUUGUUGAUUUUGUAAUCAGGCUUCGAAUGCACUAUAAACCAACGCUGCUAUAUUUGAAGUCAAGAGAAAUUUUGUUUCACAUUCUGCACCGAUGCACAUGGUAUUCGGUGCAUUAACUUAAAGUGCUGCAAUCUCUAUUUUCAAAUUUAGUAAAGAUCAACACCUGAAACGUAAUGCAACCAGAACACAGCAUAUUUCAACUUUUGUGGAUGUUUCAUGCUCAUUCCCACUAAGUUUUACAUAACAGGUUUUCUACAGAAAUAAUAAUAGGAAACAGCUUUAAUAUUGUUACUUUAACUUACUCAGCAUGCUUAACUAAGUGCCAUUUAAAACACAGGCAUAAAAGGGCUUAUAAGCUUACAAAAUUGCUUAGCACAAAGAAUUUGUGCGUACAGGGAAGAGAGAAGCAGAUGUUCCAGCCAAAAAUUUCAACGAAUGGAAUAUUGAGACUGAUUGUCAAACUAAUAUUGCUCUUUUGCUUAACACAAAAAGACCCGACCAAAAAAAAAUCUGUUUGAAAUAUUUGAGUGCCUCUUGUACAAGCAAUAACCCCAGAAAGUGCUGAAUACAUUGCAGCUUGGCACAGGGCCAAGAUACUGGCGAAUAGUCUGGCAUUAGUAACAACACACAAGUUAAAUUACAGGGUAGAGCAACCAAGCUUUUUAGAUAUUAUACAGUUUCUUGAGUGCCUAAACUUUGAAUUGAGUACACAAAUGUGUACUCAAUUUUCACAAAAUUUACAAUUUAAGUCAAAGAUUUUGAUGAUGUGAUUCUUAGUUCGGGAUUUUGGCAAAUUCCUGCCCGUUCCCAUUGGUUGAAACAUUGGAGAUCAUUUGAAUGACAAUAGUCCAACCAGCGCACACACUCUCAAAGCAACCAAUGAGAAGCAGUGCUUAGUUCUAUUUGCAUUUUACUGGUCGUUAAUGAGCCAAUGGCAUAGCUGCAGAAUUUUGUUUGUCAGGGAUGAUCUUAUCUAUAAGCCUGAAGCUCUUGACCAUCUGUUUGAAACCUGGUAUUUUCAUCUGAGGUGAGUACAUUUGUCAGUGAAGAAGAACAUUCGAAGCAUCAAAUUAAAAGGAUCCCUUUAGUGGAUGAGGGCAUGUUUUAAUAAUUUCUUAACGACAGUUGGAACUGAAAUUUGCAUUGCUGUUGGGGGGGGGGAUAAAUUAAAACCCAACAGAUAUCAGAAAGCAUAACCGUUGUUGUGAGCAGGCACAAAUGUAGUCGUCAAAACCAUUUCAAAAAAACAAAAAAAAAAUCAGAAAAAAAUAUUAAAAUAAUAAAAAGUACCAAAAAAAUAAUAUACAAAAACAAUGUAAGAUAUGUAGGAGCCAUUUGGUGACAUGACACAUAGGUCAGUGAUGACAUCAUCAAAUUUGCAUAUUUAGAGGUCACAUGACAAUGCCACAGCUGCCUCAAAGCUUCUCAGGGAAUGAAUUGGAAGGUUUUACAAACUUAGGUGGCUGUAAGGUUAUGCAGGUGGCAGCUGUACAUCAAACACACCCGCAACGAAAGUAGGAGAAAAAUUGUUUUCCAUGAGAAUUCUCUGACUUGGUGAAUUCCCUGAAAUAAAAAUCCAUAUACUUCAAAAGUGUGACUUCAAUUUGGAGAAACAUAUACAUCACAACAAAAUGUAUAAAGUUAAAUGUAUCCACUGUUGAUUGGUGAAGAAAAAAAAACAAGUUCUUCAGAUUUUGGAUUUGACGUUGAAUUCCUGUAAGUGUAUGAAACUGUAAACAUUAGAUACACAGAUUUUGUGGAACUUUUUGUUGUGAUUAGACCCAGAACGUAGUACAAGUUAAAUAUAUGUACAGCCAAGUAUUACCAAGCAAAGUCGAAGUGCUUCCAUAUUACUGCACUGUAUAAGGGGUCUAUUUUCCCCACAAAAAGCAAGCAUUUGUACUUAAAGAAUUCUUGUUUAAUAUAAAAAAAA